GAGCUUCCCAUACGGGUUGAAGCAUGACCGUAAGGACAUGUGGACAGUAUGGGAGUGAGAAUGUUGGCAUGAGUAGCGAGAUGUGGGUGAGAAUCCCACAGGCCGUAAACCCAAGGUUUCCAGGGGAAGGUUCGUCCGCCCUGGGUUAGUCGGGACCUAAGCUGAGGCCGAAAGGCGUAGGUGAUGGACAACAGGUUGAUAUUCCUGUACUACCGAUAACCGUUUGAGAGAAGGGAUGACACAGUAGGAUAAGCUAAGCACACUGUUGGUUAUGUGUGCCCAAGCAUUGAGGCAGUCAAAGCAGGCAAAUCCGCUUUGAUAAUGCUGGGAUGUGAUGGGGAGCGAAAUUUAGUAGCGAAGUAGCUGAUUUCACACUGUCAAGAAAAGUCUCUAUCGAGGUUAAAGGUACCCGUACCGCAAACCGACACAGGUGGGUGAGGAGAGUAUCCUAAGGCCAGCGAGAGAACUGUUGUUAAGGAACUCGGCAAAAUGACCCCGUAACUUAGGGAUAAGGGGUGCCACCAUCCGGUGGCCGCAGAGAAUAGGCCCAAGCGACUGUUUACCAAAAACAUAGGUUUCUGCUAAGUCGCAAGACGAUGUAUAGGAGCUGACGCCUGCCCGGUGCUGGAAGGUUAAGGGGAUCUGUUAGAGCAAUCGAAGCAGUGAACUUAAGCCCCAGUAAACGGCGGCCGUAACUAUAACGGUCCUAAGGUAGCGAAAUUCCUUGUCGGGUAAGUUCCGACCCGCACGAAAGGCGUAACGAUUUGGGCACUGUCUCAACAACAGACUCGGUGAAAUUGUAAUUCCGGUGAAGAUGCCGGAUACCUGCGACAGGACGGAAAGACCCCAUGGAGCUUUACUGUAGCUUGACAUUGGGUCUUGGUACUACAUGUACAGGAUAGGUGGGAGGCUUUGAAACCAGGACGCCAGUUUUGGCGGAGCCAUCCUUGGGAUACCACCCUUGUAGUACUGGGACUCUAACCAUAGGCCAUGAAUCUGGUCUUGGGACACUGUCAGGUGGGCAGUUUGACUGGGGCGGUCGCCUCCCAAAAGGUAACGGAGGCGCUCAAAGGUUCUCUCAGUACGGUCGGAAAUCGUACGUAGAGUGUAAAG
RNAcentral lists this ribosomal RNA (1113 nucleotides) under Clostridioides difficile. RNAcentral describes it as "bacterial LSU rRNA". It matches the Rfam family "Bacterial large subunit ribosomal RNA", at positions 1234 to 2356 of the family's 2925-position model. Lineage: Bacteria; Bacillati; Bacillota; Clostridia; Peptostreptococcales; Peptostreptococcaceae. The record is from RNAcentral.